This 1544-nucleotide ribosomal RNA is filed under the name Deltaproteobacteria bacterium. Its description in RNAcentral is "partial 23S ribosomal RNA". It matches the Rfam family "Bacterial large subunit ribosomal RNA", at positions 592 to 1957 of the family's 2925-position model. Lineage: Bacteria; Pseudomonadati; Myxococcota; Myxococcia. The record is from RNAcentral.
GGUGAUAGUGUGCCUAUUGAAGAAUGAGCCGGCGAGUUUAUAUCUACUGCUUUAAAUUAAUCCGCGAGAGCGGAGAAGUUGAAGGGAAACCGAGUGUGAAAAGCGCGUAUUGAGUUUUUUGGUUCAUCAUGUUUCUAGAGUGAUGAACCAAAAUUCUCAGAGUGGUAGAUAUAAGACCCGAAGCCAGACGAGCUUACCAUGGCUAGGGUGAAUCCCGAUGAAAAUCGGGAGGAGGCCCGAAUCCGUGAGCCGUUCAAAACUCUGGAAUGAGCUGUGGUAAGGAGUGAAAAGCUAAUCGUGUCUGGGAAUAGCUGGUUCUCCCCGAAAUAGCUCUAGGGCUAGCGGUCUCUUUAUCCUUAUGGGGGUAGAGCACUGGAUGGUGUGUACAGGGCGAAAGCUCAGCACACCAAUCAAACUCCGAAUACCAUUAAGGUUAAAAGAGGCUAGUCAGACUACGGGGGCGAAGCUCCGUGGUCAAGAGGCAAAGAAUCCGGAUCGCCGUCUAAGGUCCCUAAAUAUUGGUUAAGUGUUGUCUCAAGGUGGUGAUUUGCCAUAGACAGCUAGGAGGUUGGCUCAGAGGUAGCCAUCCUUUAAAGAGUGUGUAACAACUCACUAUCUGAACUCAGUUUUUAUAACUGAGGUGGUGAAUCGCGCCGAAAAUUUAUCAGGACUAAAACCAAUUACCGAAGACGCGGCUCCUUCCUUUUUAUAAAAGGAGGGGGGGUAGGGGAGCGUUUCCUAAGCGUUGAAGCUUGUGGCGCGAGCCCAGGUGGAGUUUAGGGAAGUGAGAAUGCCGGCAUGAGUAACCUAAAAGUCCGAUGAGAACUCGGACCCCCGAAAAUCCAAGGUUUCCUUGGCAAUGAAAGUCAGCCAAGGGUUAGGCGGCCCUAAGGCAAUGGCGAAAGCCGUAGCUAAUGGAUAGUCGGUUAAUAUUCCGACCCUUCUGUUUUGAUCGAAGGAGUGACGAAGGAAAUAAGAUUAAGCGUCUUAAUGGAUUGACGUUCUCGAUCAUAGAGAUGUAUUCGAGGCAAAACCCGAAUACUGCUUUAAAUAGCAAGUCUCGAAUUAGAGAAAAGGUUUAGUUUUACUAAACCAAUUUAAUCGAAGAGCCUUCCGAGAAAAACUUCUAAGAUUAUCAAAACAGAAUCCGUACCGUAAUCCGACACAGGUGGAUGAGGCGAGGAGCCUCAGGGGAACGGGUGAUUCCUCGUUAAGGAACUCGGCAAAAAAGCGGGCGUAACUUCGGGAUAAGCCCUCCCAGCUCUUUUGGACAAUGAUCGCGUUUUAUUAGUUGAUUGAUGUUUUUCCUACAUUAAUUUAACUUAUAAAACGUUGUUAUUGUCCAAAAGGGCUGGGCGCAGCGAAAGUUUCCCUGGCGACUGUUUACCAAAAACACAGGUCCCUGCGAACCCGUAAGGGGAUGUAUAGGGGCUGAUGCCUGUCCGAUGCCAGAAGGUUAAGCUUGGCGGUCAAUUGAUUUUAUCAGUUGGCUGACUGAGUUAAGCCCUGGUCAAUGACAGCCGUAACUAUAACGGUUCUAAGGU